Molecule: long non-coding RNA, 941 nt
Organism: Nematostella vectensis (starlet sea anemone)
Lineage: Eukaryota; Metazoa; Cnidaria; Anthozoa; Actiniaria; Edwardsiidae
Exons: 2
Source: RefSeq, a predicted model, not a curated record
AAAUUUGAAGAAGGGGGGGCUAUAGCCGGUGUGUGGCCCCUCCACUAAUUUAACGAUUAAAACGAGCGUACGAUCAUUGGCCUCUGCGUGCGUUUCCGAAUUUUAGGGCACUGGUACCAAUCACGGGCCCUUGAGGAAUCGAGCGCCAAGUGAAUUGUGUAUCUCGGCGUGUAGGAAUUAACCUCUCCUGACCUCAAUUUAAAACUAAAAUGCAGUUAGAAUAUAUUUCUAAAUCACAACACUUCUGUAGACGUCUGCUGUAGAAGCUAAAAACGUCUGCUGUGAAGCUAAAAACAUGCGUCAUUGCUCCGAGGGGGGUGCAUAUUUUGUCUCAUGUCACCCCUAAACGACCCUUCUAAAAGCAUUUGGCAAUUAUUGUAAAAAAAAAACAAGAGCCGGCAAUCGAGCCCUUGGAAUGCUAGAAUUCUAUCGGAAAAUCACUUCGAUGAGGACACUUGGUCGAAACCGCUCAAAAUACCGGAAAUAUUGUUUACAGGAAACCGUGCAGAGUUUUUACACCGUUUACACGGAUCUUAUACAGCUAGCGCUCUGCACUUUUGUCCUGCUGUGGGAGUUCCCAUGCAAACGGGGCGGGUAACCGUACGAAUGUUAAGCGGUAGAAAAUCAUACCGGGUCUGGUAUAAAAGGGGCCUUCAAUUAUCCCAUGUGGCAGUGCGCGCAAGUCAGGUGUGCAUGGUUGGUAUUCACCUCUUGGCACAAGCACGGUUUGGGUUGAUAUGACAGUAGUCAACCCGGUGCGAGAUGUCGCAAUAUUUAGAUCUCUUCUCUGUCAACGAAACCCAUUUAAAGCAGCAUCCCAAAGCUGUUACCACGGAAAGGAUGAAAUACUGAUAUUGGAUUGUAUGCUAUAUGGCUAAUAAACUAAUUCGUGACAUUCUUAUUUGCUGUAGUGACUAACCAAUAAACUUAUUGAAACUCGG